Molecule: long non-coding RNA, 901 nt
Filed under: Anas platyrhynchos platyrhynchos (common mallard)
Lineage: Eukaryota; Metazoa; Chordata; Aves; Anseriformes; Anatidae
Description: lncRNA (ENSAPLG00000031165.1)
Source: RNAcentral
AAAUACUAAUAAAUGUUUGAAUUGAUACUUUUGUUUCUAAAUUGUAUAUAUUAUUUUCAAGAUAUAUGUGUUUUUUUUUCAAGAAUUAAAAAAAAAAAAAAGUAAUAAAUAUUUCCAAAAAGACAUUAUGUGGUAAGGUAACAGGGAAAAGGUCUUGUUCCUGGCCAUCAGGAAGAUAACAGCAGUUCUGCUUUCCAGAACCUUGGAAGAGAUAAUGAGGCAGACAUAUCUGUGGAUGAUUGUGUUGCGAAGGUAGAAGUCUGAACUCUCAUGCUGUGUCUGCACAUGACAGCUGAAAAGGAAAUGCUAGGUACUCAGGACACUCUCACAGAAAAGGUCUGUAGCUGGGCACAAAAAUUGCUGCCUGCCAGAUACGAGUAGGCAAUAAAGUUAUGCCUGAUAUCAGACCUGAAUAUUUAUCUUACUAUAAUUUAAGAUAUUCUUAAGAAACUGAAAUGGUUGACAAGUUCUAAGCAGGAUUUAGUUACAAGCACCAGCAGUAAAAGUUCUUCAGCUGUGUGACUUUGCCUGAGUCCUCUCCUACCUCCUUUCUCUUACCUUGUAUGUGGCUUGGCACUACUUGCCAUCUCAGUUCAGAUCUGCUUUCUCUAACUCUUCAAGCUCUGGUUCCAAAGGAUCCUCUGAAGAUCAGUACUGUGUAUUUUAUGAGAAAGAGGACUCAGUGGAAUAUUAUUCUGAUCCCUAGAAGAUUCCUCAGACUGAGGAGAUUGAAGAAGGGAGUGGACACUGAUACCAAGAAGUGAACAGGAGAGAUGGACAAACAUCCUAAGGCAUCAGCCUAUGCUCUUCUGCAUAAAUUGUUUGUUGUUUUACCAAGAUCACCAUAUAGACGCAUCUGAAAAAAAAAUAAAUAAUAAUAAUAAUAAAAUUAAAUAUAACA